Molecule: ribosomal RNA, 484 nt
Filed under: uncultured bacterium
Lineage: Bacteria
Description: partial 16S ribosomal RNA
Rfam family: Bacterial small subunit ribosomal RNA
Source: RNAcentral
GAUGAACGCUGGCGGCGUGCUUAACACAUGCAAGUCGAACGGUGAAGCAGGAGCUUGCUCCUGUGGAUCAGUGGCGAACGGGUGAGUAACACGUGAGCAAUCUGCCCUGGACUCUGGGAUAAGCGUUGGAAACGACGUCUAAUACCGGAUACGAGGCGUGGGGGCAUCCCCAACGCCUGGAAAGAACUUCGGUCCAGGAUGAGCUCGCGGCCUAUCAGGUAGUUGGUGAGGUAACGGCUCACCAAGCCUACGACGGGUAGCCGGCCUGAGAGGGUGACCGGCCACACUGGGACUGAGACACGGCCCAGACUCCUACGGGAGGCAGCAGUGGGGAAUAUUGCACAAUGGGCGAAAGCCUGAUGCAGCGACGCCGCGUGAGGGAUGAAGGCCUUCGGGUUGUAAACCUCUUUCAGCAGGGAAGAAGCGAAAGUGACGGUACCUGCAGAAGAAGCACCGGCUAACUACGUGCCAGCCGCCGCAGUAA